GCCGAGGUGGCGGAAUGGCAGACGCAAAGGACUUAAAAUCCUUCGGGGGCAACCCCGUACCGGUUCGAGUCCGGUCCCCGGCACCA
RNAcentral lists this transfer RNA (86 nucleotides) under Clostridiales bacterium. Its description in RNAcentral is "tRNA-Leu". It matches the Rfam family "tRNA". From Rfam's summary of the family: Transfer RNA (tRNA) molecules are approximately 80 nucleotides in length. Lineage: Bacteria; Bacillati; Bacillota; Clostridia; Eubacteriales. The record is from RNAcentral.